UACGUAGGGUGCGAGCGUUAAUCGGAAUUACUGGGCGUAAAGCGUGCGCAGGCGGUUUUGUAAGCCAGAUGUGAAAGCCCCGGGCUCAACCUGGGAAUGGCAUUUGGGACUGCAAGGCUUGAGUGCGGCAGAGGAGACUGGAAUUCCUGGUGUAGCAGUGAAAUGCGUAGAUAUCGAGAGGAACACCUGCGGCGAAGGCGGGUUGCUGGGCUGACACUGACGCUGAAGCGCGAAAGCUAGGGGAGCGAACGGG
Molecule: ribosomal RNA, 253 nt
Filed under: uncultured bacterium
Lineage: Bacteria
Description: partial 16S ribosomal RNA
Rfam family: Bacterial small subunit ribosomal RNA
Source: RNAcentral